UAGUGGUUUUUAGUCCAGAGAGAGACCCUGAGAAACGGAUACCACAUACAAGGAACGCCGCAGGCGCGCAAUUUACCCAAUCGCGAUGCGGGGAGGUAGUCACUAUAAAUUGAGAUACGGGUCUCUUUUGGGUCUUGUAAUUGGAAUGAGCACAAUUUAAAUCCCUUCGCGAGGCACAAUUGGAGCACAUCUCUGGUCCCCACAGCCGCUGUAAUUCCAGCUCCAAUAGCGUAUAUUAAAGUUGUCGCAGUUAAAAAUCUUGUAGUUGUUCCUUGGGUCUGGCUGGGCGGUGCCCCUCCGCGCGAGUACUGUCCGGCUGGACUUUUCCUUCUGGGGAACCUCAUGGCCUUCCCUGGCUGUGGGGGGAACCAGGACUUUUACUGUGAAAAAAUUAGAGUGUUCAAAGCAGGCCUUUGCUCGAAUACAUUAGCAUGGAAUAAUAAAAUAAGACGGGGGGUUCUAUUUUGUUGGUUUCUAGAACCGCCGUAAUGAUUAAUAGGGAUAGUCGGGGGCGUCAGUAUUCAGCUGUCAGAGGUGAAAUACUGGAUUAUGGACCCU
RNAcentral lists this ribosomal RNA (558 nucleotides) under Penicillium sp. RPAN04. RNAcentral describes it as "bacterial SSU rRNA". It matches the Rfam family "Eukaryotic small subunit ribosomal RNA", at positions 370 to 937 of the family's 1831-position model. The record is from RNAcentral. Lineage: Eukaryota; Fungi; Ascomycota; Eurotiomycetes; Eurotiales; Aspergillaceae.